Long non-coding RNA from Phragmites australis (common reed), 453 nucleotides. RefSeq lists it as uncharacterized. The transcript is spliced from 2 exons. The record is from RefSeq and is a predicted model, not a curated record. Lineage: Eukaryota; Viridiplantae; Streptophyta; Magnoliopsida; Poales; Poaceae.
AAAAAGGCCGGCGGCGUCUUGAUCACGCGGCGCCUCUCUACGCGCGUCGCCGCCGGUGUGCGCAGUGCCACGAUCGGCGCCCGGCGCUCUCCCUUGCGCCCGGUGCGGUGGCGACUCCAAGGAACCAAAGCGUCCGAGCUUGUAGGAUUAUUGAACUGGAAGAAUAUUUCAGAACUGGGCCUACUGGACGGACCUGAACCACUUGGCUCUAAAUUGGAGUGGACUUAGCCAACGAGUUGCGACAGGUCAAUCGGCAAGGAUAGAAAUAUUCUUUGUGCAGCUGUGCUGCAUUAGACAAGUCAUGGAUUUGGGUUCAGCCAUUUCCUUUGCCAACUGUAUAAGAUUCCUUAGAUUUAUAAAUUUUCUGGCUUAUUUGCAUCUAUAUGUUAUGUAAAGAAAAUGUCAUCAAUCUCUCAUCUGCAAUUUAUCAACAUGAAUAUUCUUUGUCUUGCA